Molecule: transfer RNA, 98 nt
Filed under: Sedimentibacter sp.
Lineage: Bacteria; Bacillati; Bacillota; Tissierellia
Also listed under: 2 other names
Description: tRNA-Sec
Rfam family: Selenocysteine transfer RNA
Source: RNAcentral
GGGGAUAGAUAGGUGCUGGUGUGCCUCCUGGUCUUCAAAAUCAGUUGCGGGGCGUUUGUAGCGUCCUGGGUGGGUUCAAUUCCCACAUAUUCCCGCCA